CGGCGGACGGGUGAGUAAUGCCUAGGAAUCUGCCUGGUAGUGGGGGACAACGUUUCGAAAGGAACGCUAAUACCGCAUACGUCCUACGGGAGAAAGCAGGGGACCUUCGGGCCUUGCGCUAUCAGAUGAGCCUAGGUCGGAUUAGCUAGUUGGUGAGGUAAUGGCUCACCAAGGCGACGAUCCGUAACUGGUCUGAGAGGAUGAUCAGUCACACUGGAACUGAGGCACGGUCCAGACUCCUACGGGAGGCAGCAGCC
Molecule: ribosomal RNA, 257 nt
Filed under: uncultured Pseudomonas sp.
Lineage: Bacteria; Pseudomonadati; Pseudomonadota; Gammaproteobacteria; Pseudomonadales; Pseudomonadaceae
Description: partial 16S ribosomal RNA
Rfam family: Bacterial small subunit ribosomal RNA
Source: RNAcentral